CGCAAGAUUAAAACUCAAAUGAAUUGACGGGGGCCCGCACAAGCGGUGGAGCAUGUGGUUUAAUUCGAUGCAACGCGAAGAACCUUACCUACUCUUGACAUCCAGAGAAUCUUUCAAGAGAUGGAUUGGUGCCUUCGGGAACUCUGAGACAGGUGCUGCAUGGCUGUCGUCAGCUCGUGUUGUGAAAUGUUGGGUUAAGUCCCGCAACGAGCGCAACCCUUAUCCUUGUUUGCCAGCGAGUAAUGUCGGGAACUCCAGGGAGACUGCCGGUGAUAAACCGGAGGAAGGUGGGGACGACGUCAAGUCAUCAUGGCCCUUACGAGUAGGGCUACACACGUGCUACAAUGGCGCAUACAGAGGGCAGCCAACUUGCGAAAGUGAGCGAAUCCCAAAAAGUGCGUCGUAGUCCGGAUUGGAGUCUGCAACUCGACUCCAUGAAGUCGGAAUCGCUAGUAAUCGUGGAUCAGAAUGCCACGGUGAAUACGUUCCCGGGCCUUGUACACACCGCCCGUCACACCAUGGGAGUGGGCUGCAAAAGAAGUAGGUAGUUUAACCUUCGGGGGGACGCUUA
Molecule: ribosomal RNA, 571 nt
Filed under: Vibrio sp.
Lineage: Bacteria; Pseudomonadati; Pseudomonadota; Gammaproteobacteria; Vibrionales; Vibrionaceae
Description: bacterial SSU rRNA
Rfam family: Bacterial small subunit ribosomal RNA
Source: RNAcentral